UACGGAGGGGGCUAGCGUUGUUCGGAAUUACUGGGCGUAAAGCGCACGUAGGCGGCUUUGUAAGUUAGAGGUGAAAGCCCAGGGUUUAACCCUGGAAUUGCCUUUAAGACUGCAUCGCUAGAAUCGUGGAGAGGUAAGUGGAAUUCCGAGUGUAGAGGUGAAAUUCGUAGAUAUUCGGAAGAACAUCAGUGGCGAAGGCGACUUACUGGACACGUAUUGACGCUGAGGUGCGAAAGCGUGGGGAGCAAACAGG
This 253-nucleotide ribosomal RNA is filed under the name uncultured bacterium. RNAcentral's name for it is "partial 16S ribosomal RNA". It matches the Rfam family "Bacterial small subunit ribosomal RNA", at positions 524 to 776 of the family's 1533-position model. The record is from RNAcentral.